GGCUGGGCAAAUCCAGAUCCUUCAUCGCCACGGGAUGCCGAAGAACCCUCCCCCGCCGGUGAGGCAUUCUCUGCCGGUUCCAGCUUCGAGAAAACCCCCUCAUUCAAAUUCUCCAACAGCCCCUUAAGAUCCUUGUACAUCUCACCGUACUUCACCGGCCCAUCGCCACCAUCCUCCAGAUGAUUCCUAAUAUUGAUCUGAACAUGCAACGGCUCCUUCGGCUCCCCCUCCCUUGCUGUCAGAUUCAGCACAUCAACGGCAA
Molecule: unclassified non-coding RNA, 262 nt
Filed under: Hevea brasiliensis (rubber tree)
Lineage: Eukaryota; Viridiplantae; Streptophyta; Magnoliopsida; Malpighiales; Euphorbiaceae
Source: RNAcentral